Molecule: ribosomal RNA, 1046 nt
Filed under: Salmonella enterica subsp. enterica
Lineage: Bacteria; Pseudomonadati; Pseudomonadota; Gammaproteobacteria; Enterobacterales; Enterobacteriaceae
Also listed under: 1 other name
Description: bacterial SSU rRNA
Rfam family: Bacterial small subunit ribosomal RNA
Source: RNAcentral
AAAUUGAAGAGUUUGAUCAUGGCUCAGAUUGAACGCUGGCGGCAGGCCUAACACAUGCAAGUCGAACGGUAACAGGAAGCAGCUUGCUGCUUCGCUGACGAGUGGCGGACGGGUGAGUAAUGUCUGGGAAACUGCCUGAUGGAGGGGGAUAACUACUGGAAACGGUGGCUAAUACCGCAUAACGUCGCAAGACCAAAGAGGGGGACCUUCGGGCCUCUUGCCAUCAGAUGUGCCCAGAUGGGAUUAGCUAGUUGGUGAGGUAACGGCUCACCAAGGCGACGAUCCCUAGCUGGUCUGAGAGGAUGACCAGCCACACUGGAACUGAGACACGGUCCAGACUCCUACGGGAGGCAGCAGUGGGGAAUAUUGCACAAUGGGCGCAAGCCUGAUGCAGCCAUGCCGCGUGUAUGAAGAAGGCCUUCGGGUUGUAAAGUACUUUCAGCGGGGAGGAAGGUGUUGUGGUUAAUAACCACAGCAAUUGACGUUACCCGCAGAAGAAGCACCGGCUAACUCCGUGCCAGCAGCCGCGGUAAUACGGAGGGUGCAAGCGUUAAUCGGAAUUACUGGGCGUAAAGCGCACGCAGGCGGUCUGUCAAGUCGGAUGUGAAAUCCCCGGGCUCAACCUGGGAACUGCAUUCGAAACUGGCAGGCUUGAGUCUUGUAGAGGGGGGUAGAAUUCCAGGUGUAGCGGUGAAAUGCGUAGAGAUCUGGAGGAAUACCGGUGGCGAAGGCGGCCCCCUGGACAAAGACUGACGCUCAGGUGCGAAAGCGUGGGGAGCAAACAGGAUUAGAUACCCUGGUAGUCCACGCCGUAAACGAUGUCUACUUGGAGGUUGUGCCCUUGAGGCGUGGCUUCCGGAGCUAACGCGUUAAGUAGACCGCCUGGGGAGUACGGCCGCAAGGUUAAAACUCAAAUGAAUUGACGGGGGCCCGCACAAGCGGUGGAGCAUGUGGUUUAAUUCGAUGCAACGCGAAGAACCUUACCUGGUCUUGACAUCCACAGAACUUUCCAGAGAUGGAUUGGUGCCUUCGGGAACUGUGAGACA